Quercus robur (English oak) is the source of this 8110-nucleotide long non-coding RNA. RefSeq lists it as uncharacterized. The record is from RefSeq and is a predicted model, not a curated record. Lineage: Eukaryota; Viridiplantae; Streptophyta; Magnoliopsida; Fagales; Fagaceae. The transcript has 2 exons.
AUUUUUGUCCUUUCGAUAUCUCUUCUUAUUUUUUAAAUGCUGAAAAAUGUGAUGGACUAUCAUUUAUAUCUUUUGCUCAUUUUUCAUCUUAAUAGGUUAUAAUUAAAUUCUAUGCUUCUAGUUUAUUCUAGAACUCCUAGUGCCUUUGAUUUUAUUAUAUUUUUGUAUAAUGGUAGAAUCUCCAUUUUGACAUACAUGACAGAGAUCUCACAUUUUGUUCAUUCUAGAUCAAUGCAUUAAUUAGUUUCCAUACAGUAGGGAAGCUUGUGAAUAUGGAGGUUGCACACAAGAUUAAUUAUGUGUGAUUGUAUGUCUGCCUUAGCCAGUGUUCAUUCCACCACUUCUGUAGAAUUGAUUGAUAAUUUAAAUUUUAGAAUGUAAUUCUUUAGGAGUUGUGGUAGUUUUUUCUCUUUAUUCUAGUGUUCAUUUUUAAAAUGAUUACCUAGUUAUCAAAAAAAAAAAAAAAAAAAAAAAAGAGGAAAAAAUAAGAAUAAUUUUUUGGACUCUCAUCUGUAUUUCAGUUUUGAGGAUUAUUUUAUAUUAAUGACUUAAAUUAGCAUUAAUCAGCCUUUCUUAGAUGUUGCAUCAAUGAUACAUAUUUUGAUGAAAUAAGCUUAAGCUGAUCCUAAUACGUUGAUGGUGUAGUGGGUGGCCUUAACCUUACCAUCUGCAUGGGUACUUAGAUCAGAAUCUCUGGAUAUCUCUCUAUUUUUGAAGUCAGGAAUUAAACAGUAUGUUAAUUCCUGUUUUAUUUGAUUCCCUUGGUUGGAAGAAUGACAAUGCUGAAGGUUGAUAAUUUGAGUUUGAUUAAAUAUGUUAUUUUUAUUUAUUUAACCAUUGAGUGCUAACUGAUGAUCCGCUUUCCUAGUGAGAAAUUGGGUGGUCGCAACUUUAGUCUGGAAAUGUAAAAAUUCUCCUAGUUCAUUGUGGACAUGAACUUGAUUGAUCUACCUCUUGAAGGAGGGUCUUACACAUGGAUGAGUGGUUCGAAUUCACCUUUGAUGUCUAGGAUUGAUAGGACAUUGGUGUCUAAGGAUUGGGAAGAGCAAUUCCUUGAUGUUAUUCAGUGAGUGUUACCACAUCCGAUUUCAGAUUAUAACCCUAUCUUGUUUGUGGUAGGAGGAAUGGAGAGAGGUAAAAGUCAAGUCCCUGAUGUUAUUUAGUGGGUUUUACCACGUCUGAUUUCAGAUCAUGGCCCUAUCUUGUUGGAGGCAGGAGCAAUGGUGAGAGGGAAAAGUCCUUUUAGAUUUGAGAAUAUGUGCUUAAAAACAGAGUGGUUUGUGAAAAAGGUACAUUUUUGGUGGAAUCGUUAUUAUUUCCAAAGCACGCCUAGUUUUGUGUUAGCUAAGAAGUCGGAGGCCUCGAAGGAAGAUAUUCGCUUGUGGUAUACAAAGGAGUAUGGAAAUUUAUAGGUGAAGAAAAGGAGGUUGUUGGAGGAAUUGGUGAGGCUAGAUGGGAAGGAAGGGGUUACAGUGAUCACACUUGAGGAGAAGAGGGAAAAGGAUAGAGUGAUUUCAAAUGUGAAGCACUUGACUUUGUUGGAGGAAACAUUGUUAAGAUAGAAAUCUAGAGAUUUAUGUCUAAUUCCCAUAGAAAGAAUAAUUAUUUGGGUAAUUUAGAGGUGGAUGGGUAUAUGAUGAUGAGGGUUGAGGUGAUUGAUUAGGUGGUGGGGUGGGAUUUUAUUGAAAGUUAUAUAGGGAGAUAGAAACAUUGCGACCGGUGGUGGAUGAUUUGAAUUUUGAUACUAUUGGAGGAAGAAAUUCUACAAGUUGUGCAUGACAUGGAGGGGGACAAAGCCCUGGGACUUGAUGGGUUUACGAUGGCUUUUUUCCAUCAUUGUUGGAGGGUUGUGGAGAGUCAUAUUUUAGCCUUCUUUGAGGAGUUUUAUGAGUAAAUUCUUCAUUUAUUGUUCUUAUUUCUAAGAAACAUGAAGCCAAUAAUAUUUGAGAUUAUAGAGCAAUAAGUAUGUAGAGUAGUGUCUAUAAGAUUUUGGCUAAGGUCUUGGCAUACCGGUUGAGAGGGUCUGAAUCUCAAAAUGCUUUCAUGGGGGGUCUUCAUAUUUUGGAUUCAAGUCUUUGUUGCAAAUGAGUGUGUUGAUCGUUGUAUUUGAAGAAAGGUACUGGAUGUAAUUUAUAAAUUGGACAUAGAAAAAGCUUAUGAUCAUGUAAACCGAGAGGCCUUGCUUUACUCGCUAGAAAGGAUGGGUUUUGGAGUUAGAUGGCGACAAUGGAUCCAUACAUGUAUCUCUUUUGUCUAGUUUUCAGUUAGUCAAUAGCCCUUUAGUUGUUUUUUUCCCCUAAUUCGAGAGGCUUAAGAUAAGAGGAUCCUUUAUCUCCUAUGCUUUUCCUUUUGAUGAUGGAAGUGUUUUCUAAGAUUCUUAGGCGAAUGGAGGAGGCUGGUAUUAUUAGGGGUUUCAAGGUGCAUGGAGUGGGAGGUGAUGAGUUAUGCGUAUCUCAUUUGUUAUCUGCGGAUGACACCAUAUUGUUCUGUGAUACUACUAUUGAACAAUUUCUCCAUAUUAGAAUGUUGCUAACAUGUUUCACAACGGUUACAGGGCUUAAGAUUAAUGUAAGUAAAAGUGAGAUGGUUCCAGUUGGUGAGGUGGAUAAUUUGGACGAGUUAGCUGAUGUACUGGGCUGCAACAUUGGGGUUUCAUCUAUGACAUAUCUUGGUAUGCCUUUGGGAGCCUCCUACAAGUCGUCCUCUAUAUGGAAUCCAGUUUUGGAGAAGUUGGAAAAACACUUGGUAGGGUGGAAGAAAAUGUAUCUUUCUAAGGGGGUUCGCCUGACUUUGUUCUGUAGGGGUUCACAUGGGUGUGGUUUAUGGAGGGGCAUUUGAAAAGGUUGGGAGAGUUUUAGUAAGUUUAUUUACUUUGAGAUAGGAAUGGGGAGUAGAAUCCAGUUCUAGCAUGACUAUUUUUGUGAAGCUUAGUCGUUGAAAGGAACUUUCCUGGAUUUAUUUGAGGCUGCUACUUAUAGGGAGGCAUUUGUUGCAGAUAUGGUGGCGAGCCACACUUUGGAGGAAGGGUGGAGUUGGGAUGUACGGUUCCAAUGUGGUUAGAUGGAGUUGGUGGAGGCCUUUUUUCAUACUUUGGAGUCACUGAAUCCUCCUAUUGAGGAUGGAGAUAAGAUGUGGUGUUUGGGGCUGAAGGGAGAGUUUGAUAUAAAAUUCUUUUAUGGUGCAUGGAGGGGAUCUAGCUCUAUUACUUUUCCUUGGAAGAGUAUUUGGCCUGUGAAGGCUCCAUGUCGUGUGACUUUUUUUGGCUGGGAAGAUUCUCACAACUAACCAUUUGAGGAGAACGGGCUUCGCUAUUAUGGAUUGGUGUUGCCUUUGUAGACGUAUUGGAGAGAGUGUUGAUCACGUGCUCAUAUUGUGGUGAGGUAUCUUGGUUAUGGAGCUUUGCUCUUAGAUUGUUUGGUGUUUUUUGGGUUUUACCCAAGAGGGUUAUCAACUUAUUGGCUGGUUGGAGGAAUUGAUUGGGGAAGCAUUCUUCAAAUAUUUGGAUAUCACAUUGUGCGAAGUGGAUUCUUUGGAGGGAGAGAAAUAAUUUCAUAUUUGAAGAUUCGGUGCUUUCCAGGGAUAAGCUCAUAGCUCUAUUUGUGACAACUUUGUUUGAUUGGUCACGUGCGUGGGGAUUUACUUCUAGGGAAUCCAUUCCGCUGUUUUUAGAUUCCCUUUCUUGUACAUAAUUGUCUGUUUUUCCUAGUUGCUUGUACAUAUCUUCUUUGCCUACUCCCUCAAGAAAUGGAGUAGUAGUUUUAUUCAAUACAAUUUUUCUUACUUAUCAAAAAAGAAUUAAUGGCACUUCCUCCCUCCCCCCUUCAAAACACAAAAGGUGAGGUGUCAAUUCAAAAUCUACUGCAUACGUGCUUUAUGUGCACCCGUAAAAGGAUGUCACUGUUAUUUAUUUGAGUUAUAGAGUGGUAUGCUCUCUAGCUUAAAAGGCUUAGGAGCACCCUGGGGAGAGAACAAGGUUGCAAUUCAUGACUUGAAGCAGCUUUUUUUUUCCAGACUAUUUGAAUGGACAAAUGCUUUGGGCGUUUUCACUUUUGAUUCCCUGGUUGAUUUGCUUGAUUGUUGUAAUUUUCAUGCACUUUAGUUUUUCAUUUUUUUGUCCUUAGCACACUACCUGUGUGCUUUGGUUUUAUUUUUUUUGUGCUAUUUUCUUUUUAAUCAGUGAAGUAUUACUUAUUUAUUAAAAAAAAAAAAAGGCUGUAAGAGAGGGAGUAUAUGUGGUGCUUACAGGGGAAGUCGCAUUAUCGGCUUCUAGUCUUGAGAGGAUUAGGAGCUGUCCUACCUUGAGAUGUGCCUAAGGUGGUUCCAUGUAAACCUGUUGUACGCUUGUGUGAUCCCCCUUAGUUCUCACCCAUUUAGGGAUGAGAAUUUUCUCCUAUUUGGUUGCCUCUCAUAAUUGGUGCUUUUGCCCUAUAAUGCUGCAUAUUCCACUUUCAAUGGUUAGGAUCAUCUUCUCUUUCAGAUCACAAGAUAUUUCCUCUCUUCUAUUUUUAUUUUACUAUUCUGCAUUCUUGGGUGAAAGUAUUCCCUGAUGUAGCUCUAACGGGAGUUCCCUGACUGAUUUAGGUCAUAUUUUAAAUUUGAUUAGAGCCCAAACUUUGGUCAUUCUUGUAUUUGUUAAUAGAUUUUAGUGUUGUAUCCUUGAGAUAUGAAUCAUGGGUGUGGUUCUUUUUAACUUGUUGGCAGCUAAGAAGGUCAAAGCUGUAUAGUAUAAACUAAAGUAAUGGAUGAUCCUUUUUGGUGUGGCUGGAAGGAAUUUGAUUUUAAACUGGAUUAAAUAUUUUGUUGCCCAACAGGGUUUCGUCCCUUGUUGUCUUGUGAAUUGGUGGCAAUAGCAAAAGCAAAGUAUUAGUUCAGGUAACUUGACAGAAAUAAGUUAGUAUUUGAUUUAACAGGCCAUGUCAUAACAAAAGGCCUUAAGGUUAGAUGAAUUGAAUUGCACAUAAACGACAACAUUCAAACCAAGAGCCUUGUAACUCAACUGGCAUUUCAAACCGUUUGUAUAUUUUUAUAUUAUGUUCACUAUCUGUCCCCUCAAAGGUAGGGACAAAAUUUAACAUCUCAUUUGUACCCUCCAAAAUACCUGAAGACUACUUUGCAUUAUUUUGGCACUCUGAAGGUUCAAUACCUUCACUAGGUGUAUGCUAAAGCUUGAGUUUUUGCCUGCUUGAGACAAUGUUCCCACUCAGUUGAUCUCACUUGAAAAGAAACCACCAAAUCUUUUGACCCAACAAUUGACAUGAUACGUAGUAUGGUGACACUAGGGGUGGCAAAUGGACAGAUUGGAUCAUAAAUGGGUUGGGUGUGUAAUUACCCAUUUAUGACCCGUUUAUAUAUAAAUUAAUUAUCCAUUAUCCACCCAACCUAUUUAAUUAGUAACCCGCCCAUUUAACCCAGUAUGACCCAAAUAAAUAAAUAACUUGUUAUUAGAUUUUCCCAUUAAGUUAGCAACUACAAAAUUUCUCAUAAACCAAACAGGACCCUUGAAAAUUGUAUUAAAAUCUUUUAGCUUUAAAACAACAUCAACCACUUCAUUUUCAUUUAUUUUCCCAAACUUUCUCACAAACCAAACAGAACUUCUCCUUACCCAGACCAAUACCUAACUAAUCAAACAAUCUUUUAAGCAAACAAACACUCAUAGAACUAACUUGAACUUUAGUCUAAACUCUGAAAUACAGUUUUUCCCUAAUUUUCUCAAAACUUGCUCGGCAACCAAACAGAAAAAUACAAAAAAAAAAACCUGUUACCAGUAUCUUUCUUGAUAUCCUCAUGCUCAUGCCUCCGCUUCCGAUGGCGAGCCCAAUCGGCGGUACUAUUACAGAUACUUGUACAACCUUCGUUAUCGGGCUAGUUCUCGAGCAGGUUGCCAAUAAUCUCGAUCCGGAGCUGCCGGUCCGAGAAGUUACUAUCGUUGAAAGCGAACGCGAAAUCAGCAUCUGUAGAAGCUGAUACACUACCUCUGGUGAACUCCGAUUCCAUCCCCGUUCUCUCUCUAGAAUUUCCUUUUGUUUGGUUACUGAGAAAAUCUGAGGGAAAAUGUUUGGGCUUAGAAAUCUAGAGGUUAAAGUGUUUGGGAAAGUGUUUGGUUACUGAGAAAAUCUGAGGGAGAGUGAGACUGAGGACCGAAUGUUUGGGCUUAGAAAUCUAGAGGUUAUACUGUUUAUUUAAGUUUUAGAUUUUAGAAGGGCUUAGUGGGUAUUAGUGGGUUUAUUUAAUUUUAAAUUUUAGAUGGGUUUAGUGGAUAUUAGUGGAUUUAUCCAUUUAGACCCAUUUAAUUAAAUAACCAAAUGAGUCUUUAUUCAUUUAACCCAAAUACUCAAAUGGGUUGAGUUAAGACUUAUCCAAAUAAGGUGUGUAAUGGGCGGGUUCAUGGAUAUAGAUAAAAAUUGCCACCCCUAGGUGACACGACAUUUCUUAAAAAACUAGGAUAUGAUACGUCGAGGAUACAACAAUUAAUUAGUGAAUUAAUUUUUUUUUUAGGUAUAUAUAUUUUAUAUUUGGAAUAAUUUAUGUUUAUUUUGGAUGUAAAAAUUAUGUAACAACUAUGAAAUGUUUGGAAAUAUAUCUAAAAUUAAUUUAAAGACAAUAAAAUAUUGUUUAAAGUACGAACAAGAGAGUUCAAAUAAACCAGACGCCCAUAAAAAGAAUUCAAAUAAACAACAUUCAACAUCAAAAUAGAACAACCGAAUUAAAAAAUAAUUUUUUCUUCCUGAGUGCAUGCUUGACACGUUUGUGUCCAUGUUAGAUACAUGUCUGACACCAGUACGUUGGCAAUUUUUCCUCGUCUGUGCUUCCCAGGCUGCACCUUGGGUGGGCUAGUUUUCUUCCUUUAUUUGUGACCAUAGUUGUGGGCCUUACAUGCUCAAGAUAUUGAUUGGUUGUAUGCAACUGUGUGUUCUAUCAUCUUCCACUUGGAUCACGAUCUUUACGUAAUUGAUAUUUACAAGUGAUUGUGAUCAAUUGUUCGUCAAUUUGGUGGUUUUCAAUUUUUCAUCAACUCAUCAAAAAUGCCAAAGAAGCAGUUCUUUACUCUAUUAGGCCACAUAGAUGAACGUACAAAAAAAGGGUAAUUUUGGCAGCCCAACCACUUACCAGUAGUAUCUCCUCCUUGUCGUCCACAAAUUUCAACCGAUCAGUUCAUUUAUUCUAGUGGCGGGUGACUUGUGAACUCUUUGAACCUUCUAGAAGGAAUUUGUGUCCUGCAUCUUCAAAGGUUUUAACAUUGUGUUCUUCUUUCCACUUGAAAGCUAAUCACAUGGGUUUGUUUCCCAUACUAAGUUAUUAAGUGUUGGAGAAGCACAUUGGGUAUCGUCUAUUUCUAAGACUCCCUUCAUUCCAAUACACAAGUUUUCCUAUACCCCUAGAUAUUUGAAGUGGUUGGAGGAUAUUCUUAGCUCAGCCGCUGCAACCGCAAAGUGCUAAAUGAUGCUAGGCUUUAUGAAGCGCUAUAUGCCUCAGUCUUCACCUGGUAUCAAAAUGUGUUCAUCGUGCAAGCUUUCUGUGAAUGUUGGUGCCCUGUUAAAAACACUCCGCAUACUUCUAUGGGAGAAGUCUUUAUUGCCCUUUGGUGUGGUAUGUCUUGUAUGUUCACAUCAUAUCCCUAUAUAUAUAUAUAUAUAUAUAUAUAUAUCAUAUCUCUGCAUACUUCUAGAUAUCAUAUCUCAAUUGAAUGUUGAAUGUUGUCAAGAAAGGUACUCCAUGCUAAAUGUUUCUGAACUGACCAACCCCUUGCUAAUUGGCUUCCAAGCCUGAGUCGCAACAGUGUUUAAAGCCUUCCAUCAGAGUUUGUACGUUGCUUAUAAUCUUUAACGGAUGACUAUGACCCCCCUCAAUUUUCUUUUUUCCAGAUUAUGUAAGAUUAAACCAAGAUGUUGAGUAUAUUUUUAGGAAGUGAUGAACCUUUGUUUUCAUUUUUCAAUGAGAAUGAUUAUGGCUAUAUUAUAAAAAUUUGUGAUUGUUCAUUUCUUUGGUGUGGUAUGUCUUGUUCUCUUAGGUGCAUACUACUAAAGAAUAAAGAUCCAACCGAUGGUUUAUGCUUGGGACCUUAAUACAAACAUAAAUCUAAUGAUGAGCUGAAUUUGAUCUGGUUUCUUUG